GAUGAUGCCAGCUUGCUGGUGGAUUAGUGGCGAACGGGUGAGUAACACGUGAGUAACCUGCCCUUGACUCUGGGAUAAGCCUGGGAAACUGGGUCUAAUACCGGAUAUGACCUUCCAUCGCAUGGUGGUUGGUGGAAAGCUUUUGUGGUUUUGGAUGGACUCGCGGCCUAUCAGCUUGUUGGUGGGGUAAUGGCCUACCAAGGCGACGACGGGUAGCCGGCCUGAGAGGGUGACCGGCCACACUGGGACUGAGACACGGCCCAGACUCCUACGGGAGGCAGCAGUGGGGAAUAUUGCACAAUGGGCGAAAGCCUGAUGCAGCGACGCCGCGUGAGGGAUGACGGCCUUCGGGUUGUAAACCUCUUUCAGUAGGGAAGAAGCGUAAGUGACGGUACCUGCAGAAGAAGCGCCGGCUAACUACGUGCCAGCAGCCGCGGUAAUACGUAGGGCGCAAGCGUUAUCCGGAAUUAUUGGGCGUAAAGAGCUCGUAGGCGGUUUGUCGCGUCUGCCGUGAAAGUCCGGGGCUCAACUCCGGAUCUGCGGUGGGUACGGGCAGACUAGAGUGAUGUAGGGGAGACUGGAAUUCCUGGUGUAGCGGUGAAAUGCGCAGAUAUCAGGAGGAACACCGAUGGCGAAGGCAGGUCUCUGGGCAUUAACUGACGCUGAGGAGCGAAAGCAUGGGGAGCGAACAGGAUUAGAUACCCUGGUAGUCCAUGCCGUAAACGUUGGGCACUAGGUGUGGGGGACAUUCCACGUUUUCCGCGCCGUAGCUAACGCAUUAAGUGCCCCGCCUGGGGAGUACGGCCGCAAGGCUAAAACUCAAAGGAAUUGACGGGGGCCCGCACAAGCGGCGGAGCAUGCGGAUUAAUUCGAUGCAACGCGAAGAACCUUACCAAGGCUUGACAUGAACCGGACCGCUGCAGAAAUGUGGUUUCCCCUUUGGGGCUGGUUUACAGGUGGUGCAUGGUUGUCGUCAGCUCGUGUCGUGAGAUGUUGGGUUAAGUCCCGCAACGAGCGCAACCCUCGUUCUAUGUUGCCAGCACGUGAUGGUGGGGACUCAUAGGAGACUGCCGGGGUCAACUCGGAGGAAGGUGGGGACGACGUCAAAUCAUCAUGCCCCUUAUGUCUUGGGCUUCACGCAUGCUACAAUGGCCGGUACAAAGGGUUGCGAUACUGUGAGGUGGAGCUAAUCCCAAAAAGCCGGUCUCAGUUCGGAUUGGGGUCUGCAACUCGACCCCAUGAAGUCGGAGUCGCUAGUAAUCGCAGAUCAGCAACGCUGCGGUGAAUACGUUCCCGGGCCUUGUACACACCGCCCGUCAAGUCACGAAAGUUGGUAACACCCGAAGCCGGUGGCCUAACCC
RNAcentral lists this ribosomal RNA (1361 nucleotides) under Arthrobacter sp. RNAcentral's name for it is "bacterial SSU rRNA". It matches the Rfam family "Bacterial small subunit ribosomal RNA", at positions 68 to 1441 of the family's 1533-position model. Lineage: Bacteria; Bacillati; Actinomycetota; Actinomycetes; Micrococcales; Micrococcaceae. The record is from RNAcentral.